RNAcentral lists this long non-coding RNA (7142 nucleotides) under Citrus x clementina. RNAcentral describes it as "Citrus clementina (C. clementina) long non-coding RNA (CCLE_LNC005692)". The record is from RNAcentral. Lineage: Eukaryota; Viridiplantae; Streptophyta; Magnoliopsida; Sapindales; Rutaceae.
UCAUUUAUUUUAUUAAUCAGAAAAAUUAUUUAUUACAAUUAAAUAAACACAUAUGCUUUUAAAGAGCAUAUUUUCCCAACAUAUCUCCCACGCUUGCAUUGCGGUAGAGUGAGUUGCCACCUUCUUCGUGAAGCUUCCGGUUGAAGAGUUUACUGAGAUUGUAUACGUAGAUGAUGGAAGCAGUAUUAUUAGUGCCGCGUGGGCAGAAUUUGUACUGAUAGUCCGCGGGGUUGGCGACUUCAGCUUCAGCGUCCCAUGAGCUCCGUAACAUAAGCAUAGCUAAGCAAAGAAAGGAAACAAGGUGAAGCAACCGAAUUAUGAUCGGCAUAUUUAUUAGUUAUUCAAUAUAUAAAGCAGAUUUACUGGAAAAGCAAAGCCUUAGCCAACAUUAUAUAUCGAUCGAUGUCUAGCAAACCAGUGUAGACUAUUGAUUAAAUUAAUUAAUUCCCUGUAAAUUUCCAGGCAUUUUCACAUUGGAGGUUGUAGUCAUAUUCUCUAAGUUGAAAGUCCACGCAAAUUCAAACGUGUUUAUUGAGUGAGCACUGUGAGCGACUAGACUUUUAUUAUAAAGAAAAAGCAGAAAUUUUGAAAUUUUGCAAAUCUUGUAUGAUUUGAAAUUUUGAAACAUCCCUGUAAAAUUGAACAGAAAAACAUCAAUUUAAUCUAAUAAGUAGCUAGGUUUAAUCGAAUAAAUGUCACUUUUAAUAACUUUUGUAAAUAUAUGCUGCUGUUUCGGUUUUAAUACGAUAAUAAAUGCAGUAACCAUUUUCCCAAUUAAAUAUUACUUGACAAUCACAACCAUCUCUUACUAAAUUUGUGCUUCUCAUAAUCUUCCAAGACCAGGACGUUCAGAUGGUUAUUGACUAUUGCAGCAAAUGCUAAUUUUCUUUCACAAAAAUUAGCAUAUGCACCUUGUUCAAAUCUGAGAAACAGCCUCGAGGGAAAGUACCACGUGUGGCACGUUCAUUCUUGAUGUUAAUAGAAACCGCGUCAAGAAUAUCCGAUUUGCCUCUGCGGAACCCCACGCGGUGAAAAUCUGUGAAACCCCACGAAUAUUCACUUCUCAUUCCUUUAUUAGAACACGUGAGCCUUUUUUUUUAAUGAUUUAUUGACACGACCGGCCCCAGCCUAUAUAUCAAUCUGAGGCGGAUCAUGCGGUUUAAUAACUAAAAUUCACGUUACAAACUUAAUACAAGAAUAUAUAAAAAUAAUUUUUACUAUAAACACAUAACAACCUCUGUACCUCAUACGAAAAUAUGUAUUCAAAGUUUGUAUAGUUCUUAUCUCACUAUACAUACUUAUAUUACAAAUAUAUACAUAAAAAACAUAGGCAACAUAAACAUACACAAAAUGCAAAUCAUUUAGCAAUGUAUCUCGUGGCUCAAUCUCAAUUAACUAAAAUUGAUCUACACGAAAUCCUGUAGAAUUUUGGGAGAAAAAAGAUAAAUAGGAAAAAAAUGAGAUUGUGGCUAGUGAGUGGAUAUAGUAUACAUAUAUAAAAAUAAAGUAGCCACACCAAGUUGUAUUUGAUUUAGAACACACGAGUCACAGUAACCUGAUUAACUAAAGAUUCAAGCCAUCAAAAUCUGGGAUGGAAAAAUCUGUGAUGCCACACUCUCACACACAAGAAAACUGCAAAAGUCCCAACAAGAAAGACUCAACUACAAAUAUUAGUAUUAAUCUUUCAAAUACGGACCUUAUAGUAAAUACAAGCAGGUGACCUGAUCAAUCCAAUUUCCCAGACAGAAAGGGAUUGAAGUAAAAUUUCUCAUGACCAGAAAUAUUGUAUUCAUCACCAUCAUCUAAUGUUUGGUUAGAGUUCACAAAUAUCUGUAUGUCAAAACCAUUGCAUCUAAGACACCAUGUAGGUAUCAAGGACAACGUAAUUUCAAAAGUAGAUUGAGUAACCUAGAACAAGCAAACAUGUGUGUUCAUAGGAAAAAAUUUCAUCCAAAACAAUCAAGGCUGAGGGACACAUUGUCGGUCCAGAAAAAUAUUACGAACCCCUGCCAAUACUGAAACCCCCCCCCCCCCGAACCACACCAAAAAAAAAUGCAUGAUAUGGAAACAACAGAAAUCUCUAAGACUUUAGUCGCAAUCCAGUCAUAGAUAAUCUCAGCCAAGUUCCUUAACCUCCUCAAGAUUUAGCAAUGUCUUCUACUUCUAGCUCAAUGGCCGAACUUGGGAUAGCAAUAGUAGAAGAUCACAAGUAUAAGCUAAGCAUAAAAGUGUGGAAACGGAAUUACCAGAAUUUUGAAAGAUUAUCAUGGUCAGGUAUUAAAAAUCUAUAGGUGUAGAAGUUAAACAAGACAGCCGAAGCAGAAGUUAUAAUGGAAAAUCAUAUGCUCAAAAUGUGAAAAAAAUAUAUAUAUAUCCUGACUACAUUCAAUUCUUUAUCUGAAUUCCAGCUGGAAGGCCAGAAACCAUGAACUCCAUAUCCAGUCUUCCAAUUAUCCAGGUAAAUGGCCUUAUUCUCUGCCCAAAAGGAAAUUAACAACGAGACAAUUAUACAUAACCCAUCUCUGUGUUGACACACUCUUUACCCUAACAAGAACAUGCGUCAUCAGAGCCAAUAAAAUCCCCACAAUAGUUAAUCUUGGAAUAACGACCACAUAUGACAUGAUUGCUUACGAUCAGUCCCUCCAUAGUUCCAUGGCUUUGUUUGACUUAAGGAAAUUAAUUUAAUUAAGGGAAGUAAGUUUAUUUGUUUUUUCAAGACUCACGGAAUUAAAAAUAAUAAAACUACGAAUUUUUAUAUAAAUUUUGUUAUACAAAACUAACAUUGUAUAUUUAAAAUAGUUGAAUUAAAUAUCUUUUAGCUUACACGAUUUGUUUUUACAAUAAAAUCUCUUUAUAAUCACAAUAUUUGGACCAAAUUAUUUUCUUAUUUUUUAUUUAUUAUGAGAAGGUUAUAACUUGAUAGAGUUGUGAUUAUAAAUUUUUUUUGAAAAUAUGUAAAGUCAUCUAAAACGUCUAAGUAUUUGCAUUCUCUUCAAUGUUUUUCUUUUAAUGUAACUACUAUAAAUAUUAUUUAAUGAUUUGAUAACAACUUUAAAUAAUAAAACAUUAUCCCUAUCAACUUUAGAAAAAUACUUUAUGAUGUCUUAAACCUUUGAUAUAUGUGUGUGUGUUUUGCAAUAUACAAAUAACUAUUAUUAUGUGAAAGCAAGUUUCUAAAAAUAUGAUUUAGAAAACCUAAAACUUAUUUCAAUACCUAAAUUGGGAUCAUAAUUUUUUUAUGACAAUAUAAAAGUUAUUCCGAUAUAAAAUAUUACUAUAGAAAGAUUUUAUUAUAUUAUUUUAUAUUUCUAACCAACUAAUAAAUUUAUGCUAAAAUCAAUUUCCCUACGUGCAUUAUGUCAAGUAUUAUAAUGAUGAAUUGCAAACAUUAUUAGCCCAAUUAGUUUUUAACAAGCAGAGGCAAAGCUAAAGGUGGCCUAACCCAGGUUGGUAAAAAAAAAAAAAAAAAAAAAAAGAGUUAACUACAAACUUACCUCUAUGGUAAAAAAAAAUUAAAAGAAAUAGGUAAAGCUGUUUCGUUUAGUAUUAAGUAAAUAAUAUAUUUAUCCAAGUUCUAAGGGCAUGUUUGGUUGACAGGAGAGGAGGUGGGAAAGGAAGUGAAUUUAAAAUCUUGAAUAAUUUCUUUUGUUUGGUUGGCAUAAACUAAUAGGAAUUUAAUUUCAACAGAAAUUUAAUAUCUGGUAUAAUAAGGAAUUCGAAUUCUUCUUUGAAAUGUAGGAAUUCUAAUUCCUUGACUUAAAAAUAAUUGAAUUGUCCUUUGUAACCUUAAAACAUUUCCAAAUUUUCAAUUUUGCCCUUAGUUUAAAAUUUAGAAGAUCAAACCCUAAAAUCACUUUAUCUCUCGAUUUCUCUCUAUCUAGCAGCCCCCUCUAUGAUUUUCAUCCAUUUUCCCAGCCACUGCCAUCGAUUCAAAUCAGUUGCUGCCGUCGAUUCAAAUCAGUUGCUGCCAUGGAUUCAUCUUAAAAUAAGAAGAACAAGACGAAAACCGAUGUAAAUUUUUAUGAUUUUAUAGAUUUAUUAAGUUGUUUUAAUGUUAAUUUUUUUGAUUUGUUGAGUUUAUGAUUCUGUUUGGUUGCUGAGAAAAUUAUGGCUAAUUUAUUUUUGUUUUGUGUGUUUAUUGAACUAGACUUGAUUAUUUUCUCUUUCAUUAUAUUUAAACAUUAGUAAGUGAAUAAAAAAAUGCAUAUGGAGCAUGAAUUAAACAAAUAAAGAGAGAAGAAACAUAGAGGAUGCAGAGAAUUACGAAACGAGAGAGAGCUAUUUAUUCAUUUAUUUUUUCCACUCCGAACAGUUUUAUCAGCGAGGUGACAUAGUUGAAAGAGUAAUCGCAUUAACAGAGCAAUGGUCUUCAGAAUGUGAUACGAAUUGACCAGAAGCGACUCGGCUGACGGAAAAUGCCGGUUGGGUUGGUUUCGGAAGUGUCAAGAUGUCACUUCCUAACAUAACAGCCACAGAAGACAUAGUAGGUCUGUCUAUUGGAUCUUCCUGAACGCACAACAAUCCAAUAUGAAUAUAUUUCAAUAAUUCAGCCUGAUCGCAUGACUGUUUUACUACUGAAUCCAUCAACUCUGCUGCAUGUCCUUCACACCAUAGUUUCCAUAUCUGAAAUUGAUGUAAACAAAGAUGAUAUGAGGGUGAGAGGGUAUCAAUCAUAUGAUAUGAGGGUGAGAGGGUAUCAAUCAUAUGAUAUGAGAGUAAGAGAAUAUCAACCAUUGGCAGUUAUUUAUUUUUCCAGAAAGAAAGAAAGAAAGAAAGAGAAAAUUACAUACAUAAGCAAGGAGACUUGGACCAUGUUCUAAAUGAAAAAAUCCACUGCUCUUUUUCCCACUGAUAAUCUCCAGCAGAACAACUCCAAAACUGAAAACAUCUGAUUUCACUGAAAAUAUCCCUUCCAUAGCGUACUCCGGGGCCAUGUAUCCACUGUUUUGAAAAUAAAACAAUAAUGAUAUCAUAAUUAGCUAAAACCAUACACAAUACAAUAUGGGUUGGCUAUGUUAAAGCCUUGAAAACAAAGAAAUCAUACACAGAAAGGAAUGGAAUGUACUUACUAUGUUCCAACGACUCUAUUGGUAUUAGCUUCACUUUGGUUUCCACCAAAAAUUCUCGCCAUUCCAAAAUCAGAUAUCUUUGGGUUCAUCUCAUGGUCGAGUAAAACAUUACUAGCUUUGAGAUCCCGAUGAAUUAUUUUGAGUCGAGAAUCCUCAUGUAAAUACAAAAGACCUCGUGCAAUUCCCUUAAUGAUGUUUAUGCGUCUUUUCCAAUCCAAUUGUAAACUUCUCAUUGAAUCUAACAAUUAGUUGGAAAAAUUAAACAUUUAGCAUGAUUAGAAGAAUGCCUUGUGGCUUAACGAGAAAAGUAAAACAAACGGAGGAAAAAGAAAGACGCGGUACAGUUGUUGUUAUGCUAGUAGUUAAUUACGUUCCACAAGCAGAGCAAACAGCACCACUUCCGACUUGGAAGGCCUAGUACAAACCAGAAUAAAGCUGAAAUAUCCCACAUUAUGCUUCUACUUAUACAACUUAAAAAUCAGCAAUCACCAAGCAAUAAAUGAAAUGCAACUUCUCAUGUGUACAUUAGCUAAUAUUAGAAAGGGUCAGUGACAAACCAAAGAGGAAAACAUCUAGGCUUUUAUUAGGCAUAUACUCAUAGAUGAGCAGCGAUUCGUUUUCCUCCAAGCAGCAUCCCAAGAGCCUCACGAGAUUUCUGUGUUGCAAUUUGGCAAUAACUGUCACUUCAUUCUUGAACUCUUGUAAGCCCUGGCCAGAUGUUCUUGAGAGCCUCUUCACUGCAAUUUCCUUGCCAUCCCCUAAUACACCCUGCAAUUAAAUUUUCUUUUCAUAUGCAUGGAUUAAUGUUGCGAUUUAUAGCUGCAUUGGCAUCACUUCAUAGUUACCUUGUAGACGGGGCCGAAUCCACCUUCUCCAAGCUUAUUUUCUUGAGAGAAAUCCUGAGUAGCCUUGACUAUGUCGAUGAGAUCCAAUGGAAACAGAGGAAACGCUUGAGAUUCCUCCUGCUUCUCUCCAUGUAGAAGAACAUCAAAUGAGUAGUCGUUGCUAAUUCUGCCAUCUCCUGCCCCUAGAUUAAGCAAUUGAAACUUUUGAUGACUCUUUGCUUUCUCUUCUGCAAGACAAAUGAAUUAACUUUACUUUCUAAUUGAAAAAGAAAGGGAGGCGGGUGGAGUUGAAACUGCAGGAGCCGUUACCUCGGACUCUUUUAUUUCUUCUCCUGAUUAUACACCAAAGAAAAGAAGUAGACAGCAAAAAUACUAUGAUUGCUGAUGCAGCUUCCGCAAUCGUAAUCCAUCUUUUACGAGUUUUGUUAGGUGCAGUGACGGUAACUGUUGGGGUGUCGACGAGGAAACGGUACAGCUCGUACCUUAUAGAACAACUUGGGCAGAAAAUUCUAGCCCCAAGCUUUCCCUUGCUGCAGGUUGGAAUUUGAGCGACAGCCGAGUUCAGGCAAACAUUGCAGUCCGAUUUUGACAAAUCUGGUAUGCAAUGCACAGUAGUUUGAAGUGUAUCAAAGCUAGAGAUAUUAAUCGUUUGGGCUGCGUACUUGGAAUCGCUAGAGGCUGCAUUUCGAAUUUCAUCAUUGAACGUCUGAUUCAAAAUCUGAGCAAGCUUAUCAGGUUCGGUGGUGUAGUUUUCGUUUUUCACGCACAAGAAUGGAGAUGUAUCCAGAGUAGUGGCGAAAAAUUUGUUAGAAUAUCGGACCAUACAAAUGUCAUACCAAAUGGUUGCUUCCUUGGUGCCGUUACAGGAUUCCACUAGGAUAUCGAUUGCAUCAAAUAUGCAAUUUUGGCAGACCUGGUGAGAAACGUCAAAUCGACAAAGAAAAAGACCGUAAACUUUGUCGGGAUUAUCUCCCACGCUUGCAUUGCGGUAGAGUGAGUUGCCACCUUCUUCGUGAAGCUUCCGGUUGAAGAGUUUACUGAGAUUGUAUAUGUAGAUGAUGGAAGCAGUAUUAUUAGUGCCGCGUGGGCAGAAUUUGUACUGAUAGUCCACGGGGUUGGUGGCUUCAGCUUCAGCGUCCCAUGAACUUCGUAACAUAAGCAUAGCUAAGCAAAGAAAGGAAACAAGGUGAAGCAACCGAAUUAUGAUCCGCAUAUUUGUUAGUUAAUC